Molecule: ribosomal RNA, 492 nt
Filed under: uncultured bacterium
Lineage: Bacteria
Description: partial 16S ribosomal RNA
Rfam family: Bacterial small subunit ribosomal RNA
Source: RNAcentral
AGUGAACGCUGGCGGUAGGCCUAACACAUGCAAGUCGAACGGCAGCACAGUAAGAGCUUGCUCUUACGGGUGGCGAGUGGCGGACGGGUGAGGAAUACAUCGGAAUCUACUUUUUCGUGGGGGAUAACGUAGGGAAACUUACGCUAAUACCGCAUACGACCUACGGGUGAAAGCAGGGGAUCUUCGGACCUUGCGCGAUUGAAUGAGCCGAUGUCGGAUUAUCUAGUUGGCGGGGUAAAGGCCCACCAAGGCGACGAUCCGUAGCUGGUCUGAGAGGAUGAUCAGCCACACUGGAACUGAGACACGGUCCAGACUCCUACGGGAGGCAGCAGUGGGGAAUAUUGGACAAAGGGCGCAAGCCUGAUCCAGCCAUACCGCGUGGGUGAAGAAGGCCUUCGGGUUGUAAAGCCCUUUUGUUGGGAAAGAAAAGCAGCAGGUUAAUACCCCGCUGUUCUGACGGUACCCAAAGAAUAAGCACCGGCUAACUUCGUG